Molecule: ribosomal RNA, 459 nt
Filed under: uncultured bacterium
Lineage: Bacteria
Description: partial 16S ribosomal RNA
Rfam family: Bacterial small subunit ribosomal RNA
Source: RNAcentral
CCUACGGGUGGCAGCAGUGAGGAAUAUUGGUCAAUGGCCGGAAGGCUGAACCAGCCAAGCCGCGUGAAGGACGAAGGUGCCAAGCAUUGUAAACUUCUUUUGUCAAGGGACAAAAUCAGGCUCGAGAGCCUGACCGAGGGUACUUGAAGAAAAAGCAUCGGCUAACUCCGUGCCAGCAGCCGCGGUAAUACGGAGGAUGCGAGCGUUAUCCGGAUUUAUUGGGUUUAAAGGGUGCGUAGGCGGACUGUUAAGUCAGCGGUAAAAGCCCGGGGCUCAACCCCGGCGAGCCGUUGAAACUGGCUGUAGUGAGAUGUCGAGAGGGAUGCGGAAUGUGCAGUGUAGCGGGGAAAUGCUUAGAUAGUGCGCAGAAGUCCGAUUGAGAAGGAAGAAUACCGGCGGCGAUCUGACGCGGAGGCACGAAAGCGUGGGUAUCGAACAGGAUUAGAUAACCGGGUAGUC